UNCCACGUGUAGCAGUGAAAUGCGUAGAGAUGUGGAGGAAUACCGAUGGCGAAGGCAGCCUCCUGGGAUAACACUGACGUUCAUGCCCGAAAGCGUGGGUAGCAAACAGGAUUAGAUACCCUGGUAGUNCACGCCCUAAACGAUGUCGAUUAGCUGUUGGGCAGCAUGACUGCUUAGUAGCGAAGCUAACGCGUGAAAUCGACCGCCUGGGGAGUACGGUCGCAAGAUUAAAACUCAAAGGAAUUGACGGGGACCCGCACAAGCGGUGGAUGAUGUGGAUUAAUUCGAUGCAACGCGAAGAACCUUACCUGGUCUUGACAUGUACGGAACCCUCCAGAGACGGAGGAGUGCCUUCGGGAGCCGUAACACAGGUGCUGCAUGGCUGUCGUCAGCUCGUGUCGUGAGAUGUUGGGUUAAGGCCCGCAACGAGCGCAACCCUUGUCAUUAGUUGCCAUCAUUAAGUUGGGCACUCUAAUGAGACUGCCGGUGACAAGCCGGAGGAAGGUGGGGAUGACGUCAAGUCCUCAUGGCCCUUAUGACCAGGGCUUCACACGUCAUACAAUGGUCGGUACAGAGGGUAGCCAAGCCGCGAGGCGGAGCCAAUCUCACAAAACUGAUCGUAGUCCGGA
This 629-nucleotide ribosomal RNA is filed under the name uncultured bacterium. Its description in RNAcentral is "bacterial SSU rRNA". It matches the Rfam family "Bacterial small subunit ribosomal RNA", at positions 667 to 1297 of the family's 1533-position model. The record is from RNAcentral.